Long non-coding RNA from Homo sapiens (human), 515 nucleotides. Ensembl annotates it as CASK antisense RNA 1. Its record names the gene CASK-AS1. Lineage: Eukaryota; Metazoa; Chordata; Mammalia; Primates; Hominidae. The record is from Ensembl.
CAAGGUAACAGAAUCAUUGUUUAUUAUUAUUAAAAUAGAUUAUAGAAAGCAGCAUCUAUUUUGUGCAGUUUUUAGGGGCCUUGGAAAUAAAAAGCUAUGAUUUCCAAAAAUAUAACAUUCCAAAGGAUUGAAUAAUACAUACAUUUAAAGAUACAUUUUAUUAAAGUUUAGGAGAACUGAUUAAAAAAGAUACUGUCUCUUUAAAUUAGUGUGUAAUUGUUUUUCUCCUCCUAUCUAUUCGGACAUGACAAUAAUUAUAAAUGUAGGUCACACUACAACUAGGUAGUCUCUAGGGACCAUGACCUGCUGACACAAGGCCGAUAACAAAGAGACCUUUCCUGGGAGGCUGCUGGGAGGUCCAGGCAAGCCUCAGCUCUCUGGGUACAGCUCUCAAGAAAGGGGACUAGAAGUGAGAUAAAGAGACUUGCUUGAUUCUGUCCUGGCACUGCAGUGGGCAUGCGCAGACACCACAGCAGACAGGAACUCAAUCUUUUCUCUCAGGGCACUCUGAACCA